This 25-nucleotide non-coding RNA is filed under the name Mus musculus (house mouse). Lineage: Eukaryota; Metazoa; Chordata; Mammalia; Rodentia; Muridae. The record is from RNAcentral.
UAGUGCAAUGGUUCUCAACCUUCCU